GGGCUAGUAGCUUAGAGGUCUAAAGCACUGUCCUUAUAAGACAGGGAUCGAUGGUCCGAAUCCAUCCUAGCCCACCA
This 77-nucleotide transfer RNA is filed under the name Patescibacteria group bacterium. Its description in RNAcentral is "tRNA-Ile". It matches the Rfam family "tRNA". From Rfam's summary of the family: Transfer RNA (tRNA) molecules are approximately 80 nucleotides in length. Their secondary structure includes four short double-helical elements and three loops (D, anti-codon, and T loops). The record is from RNAcentral.